AAGGAAACCAUACAGGAAAUAUACAAGUAGAAGAAUCAUCUGAGAAACGUCUUCACUUGAAGCCUGCCAUUGAAAGGAAACAUCCCACUUG
Fukomys damarensis (Damara mole-rat) is the source of this 91-nucleotide long non-coding RNA. RefSeq lists it as uncharacterized. NCBI's taxonomy places the organism in Eukaryota, Metazoa, Chordata, Mammalia, Rodentia, Bathyergidae. The transcript is spliced from 3 exons. The record is from RefSeq and is a predicted model, not a curated record.